This 76-nucleotide microRNA precursor is filed under the name Habropoda laboriosa. RNAcentral's name for it is "mir-87 microRNA precursor family". It matches the Rfam family "mir-87 microRNA precursor family". The record is from Rfam by way of RNAcentral. Lineage: Eukaryota; Metazoa; Arthropoda; Insecta; Hymenoptera; Apidae.
UACGUACGGGCCUGACUCUUUGCUCUGCCCGUGCCAUUUUUUCUCUGGGUGAGCAAAGUUUCAGGUGUGUCCGUGA